RNAcentral lists this ribosomal RNA (253 nucleotides) under uncultured bacterium. RNAcentral's name for it is "partial 16S ribosomal RNA". It matches the Rfam family "Bacterial small subunit ribosomal RNA", at positions 524 to 776 of the family's 1533-position model. The record is from RNAcentral.
UACGGGGGGAGCAAGCGUUGUUCGGAUUUACUGGGCGUAAAGGGCGCGUAGGCGGCUUCGUUAGUCGGGUGUGAAAUGCCUGGGCUCAACCCAGGAACUGCACUCGAAACUCCGAGGCUAGAGUGUGGGAGAGGAGAGUGGAAUUCCCAGUGUAGAGGUGAAAUUCGUAGGUAUUGGGAAGAACACCGGUGGCGAAGGCGGCUCUCUGGACCGAUACUGACGCUGAGGCGCGAAAGCGUGGGGAGCAAACAGG